GCAAGUCGAGCGGUAACAGGUGUAGCAAUACAUGCUGACGAGCGGCGAACGGGUGAGUAAUGCUUCGGAAUCUGCCCAAUGGUGGGGAAUAACCAUCCGAAAGGAUGGCUAAUACCGCAUGAGCCCUACGGGGGAAAGCAGGGGAUCGCAAGACCUUGCGCCGAUGGAUGAGCCGAAGCCGGAUUAGCUAGUUGGUAGGGUAACGGCCUACCAAGGCGACGAUCCGUAGCUGGUCUGAGAGGACGACCAGCCACACUGGGACUGAGACACGGCCCAGACUCCUACGGGAGGCAGCAGUGGGGAAUAUUGGACAAUGGGGGAAACCCUGAUCCAGCGACGCCGCGUGUGUGAAGAAGGCCUGCGGGUUGUAAAGCACUUUUAGUGGGGAUGAAAAGCUCAGGGUUAACACCUCUGGGUCUUGACCUAACCCACAGAAAAAGCACCGGCUAACUCUGUGCCAGCAGCCGCGGUAAUACAGAGGGUGCAAGCGUUAAUCGGAAUUACUGGGCGUAAAGCGUGCGUAGACGGUUAGGUAAGUCGGGUGUGAAAGCCCCGGGCUCAACCUGGGAAUUGCAUUCGAGACUGCAUAGCUAGGGUGCGGAAGAGGGAAGCGGAAUUUCCGGUGUAGCG
This 630-nucleotide ribosomal RNA is filed under the name uncultured Gammaproteobacteria bacterium. Its description in RNAcentral is "bacterial SSU rRNA". It matches the Rfam family "Bacterial small subunit ribosomal RNA", at positions 57 to 680 of the family's 1533-position model. The record is from RNAcentral. Lineage: Bacteria; Pseudomonadati; Pseudomonadota; Gammaproteobacteria.